AUUGAACGCUGGCGGCAGGCCUAACACAUGCAAGUCGAGCGGAUGAAGGUAGCUUGCUCCUGGAUUCAGCGGCGGACGGGUGAGUAAUGCCUAGGAAUCUGCCUGGUAGUGGGGGAUAACGUCCGGAAACGGGCGCUAAUACCGCAUACGUCCUGAGGGAGAAAGUGGGGGAUCUUCGGACCUCACGCUAUCAGAUGAGCCUAGGUCGGAUUAGCUAGUUGGUGGGGUAAAGGCCUACUAAGGCGACGAUCCGUAACUGGUCUGAGAGGAUGAUCAGUCACACUGGAACUGAGACACGGUCCAGACUCCUAAGGGAGGCAGCAGUGGGGAAUAUUGGACAAUGGGCGAAAGCCUGAUCCAGCCAUGCCGCGUGUGUGAAGAAGGUCUUCGGAUUGUAAAGCACUUUACGUUGGGAGGAAGGGCAGUAAGUUAAUACCUUGCUGUUUUGACGUUACCAACAGAAUAAGCACCGGCUAACUUCGUG
This 484-nucleotide ribosomal RNA is filed under the name uncultured bacterium. Its description in RNAcentral is "partial 16S ribosomal RNA". It matches the Rfam family "Bacterial small subunit ribosomal RNA", at positions 30 to 507 of the family's 1533-position model. The record is from RNAcentral.